ACGGGAGGCAGCAGUGAGGAAUAUUGGUCAAUGGAGGCAACUCUGAACCAGCCAUCUCGCGUGAAGGAAUACGGCCCUAUGGGUCUUAAACUUCUUUUAUAGGGGGAUAAAGUGAGGCAUGCAUGCCUUUUUGUAGGUACCCUAUGAAUAAGCAUCGGCUAACUCCGUGCCAGCAGCCGCGGUAAUACGGAGGAUGCGAGCGUUAUCCGGAUUUAUUGGGUUUAAAGGGUGCGCAGGCGGCCUGUUAAGUCAGCGGUAAAAUCGUGAGGCUCAACCUCAUCAUGCCGUUGAUACUGAUGGGCUUGAUUGCGGUCGAGGUAGGCGGAAUUCGUCGUGUAGCGGUGAAAUGCAUAGAUAUGACGAAGAACACCGAUUGCGUAGGCAGCUUACCAGACCGAAAAUGACGCUCAUGCACGAAAGUGCGGGGAUCGAACAGGAUUAGAUACCCUGGUA
RNAcentral lists this ribosomal RNA (453 nucleotides) under uncultured Parabacteroides sp. RNAcentral's name for it is "partial 16S ribosomal RNA". It matches the Rfam family "Bacterial small subunit ribosomal RNA", at positions 341 to 792 of the family's 1533-position model. Lineage: Bacteria; Pseudomonadati; Bacteroidota; Bacteroidia; Bacteroidales; Tannerellaceae. The record is from RNAcentral.